Molecule: ribosomal RNA, 429 nt
Filed under: Bacteroidota bacterium
Lineage: Bacteria; Pseudomonadati; Bacteroidota
Description: Bacteroidetes bacterium partial 16S ribosomal RNA
Rfam family: Bacterial small subunit ribosomal RNA
Source: RNAcentral
UAGGGAAUCUUCCGCAAUGGACGCAAGUCUGACGGAGCAACGCCGCGUGAGUGAAGAAGGAUUUCGGUUCGUAAAACUCUGUUGUUAGAGAAGAACAGCGCAUAGAGUAACUGUUAUGCGUGUGACGGUAUCUAACCAGAAAGCCACGGCUAACUACGUGCCAGCAGCCGCGGUAAUACGUAGGUGGCAAGCGUUGUCCGGAUUUAUUGGGCGUAAAGCGAGCGCAGGCGGUAAAUUAAGUCUGAUGUGAAAGCCCCCGGCUCAACCGGGGAGGGUCAUUGGAAACUGGUUGACUUGAGUGCAGAAGAGGAGAGUGGAAUUCCAUGUGUAGCGGUGAAAUGCGUAGAUAUAUGGAGGAACACCAGUGGCGAAGGCGACUCUCUGGUCUGUAACUGACGCUGAGGCGCGAAAGCGUGGGUAGCAAACAGG